GAUGAACGCUGGCGGCGUGCUUAACACAUGCAAGUCGAACGAAGCUGCUUAAAGGAAGUCUUCGGAUGGAAUUUAGGUAGACUUAGUGGCGGACGGGUGAGUAACGCGUGGAUAACCUGCCUUAUACAGGGGGAUAACGGAGAGAAAUUUCCGCUAAGACCGCAUAAGACCACAGCACCGCAUGGUGCAGGGGUAAAAUAUUUAUAGGUAUAAGAUGGAUCCGCGUCCGAUUAGCUAGUUGGUGAGGUAAAGGCCCACCAAGGCGACGAUCGGUAGCCGGCCUGAGAGGGUGAACGGCCACAUUGGGACUGAGACACGGCCCAAACUCCUACGGGAGGCAGCAGUGGGGAAUAUUGGACAAUGGGGGAAACCCUGAUCCAGCGACGCCGCGUGAGUGAAGAAGUAUUUCGGUAUGUAAAGCUCUAUCAGCAGGGAAGAAAAUGACGGUACCUGACUAAGAAGCCCCGGCUAACUACGUGCCAGCAGCCGCGGUAAUACGUAGGGGGCAAGCGUUAUCCGGAUUUACUGGGUGUAAAGGGAGCGCAGACGGCAAUGCAAGUCUGAAGUGAAAGGCGUGGGCUCAACCCAUGAACUGCUUUGGAAACUGUAUAGCUUGAGUGUCGGAGGGGUAAGCGGAAUUCCUAGUGUAGCGGUGAAAUGCGUAGAUAUUAGGAGGAAACACCGGAGGCGAAGGCGGCUUACUGGACGACAACUGACGUUGAGGCUCGAAGGCGUGGGGAGCAACAGGAUUAUAUACCCUGGUAGUCCAAGGGCGAAUUUCAUAGCGGAUAUCAAGCUUAUCGAUACCGUCGACCUUCGAGGGGGGGCCCGGCACCCGCUUUUUUUCUCUUUAGUGAGGCUUAUUACCU
Molecule: ribosomal RNA, 869 nt
Filed under: uncultured Lachnospiraceae bacterium
Lineage: Bacteria; Bacillati; Bacillota; Clostridia; Lachnospirales; Lachnospiraceae
Description: bacterial SSU rRNA
Rfam family: Bacterial small subunit ribosomal RNA
Source: RNAcentral